RNAcentral lists this long non-coding RNA (334 nucleotides) under Gossypium barbadense (sea-island cotton). RNAcentral's name for it is "long non-coding RNA (GBAR_LNC006364)". Lineage: Eukaryota; Viridiplantae; Streptophyta; Magnoliopsida; Malvales; Malvaceae. The record is from RNAcentral.
AGAAAACUGAUCCAACUGAGCACUGGGCAGCCCAAAACCGUCCCACAUACUGACCCAAUCAGAUUGCUUGGCUGAUUAUUUAACUUGCAAAAUGGCCCUUGAAUAAUCCUUCAAAAUGCAUUCAAACCCCUCCACUAUUUGUGCCUUUCUAGAUUUGCCCCUACCUUAAAAUAACAUGUUUGAAUUCUUCAAACUUGCCACAUAUGUGGCCAGCCAUGGGGGGACUCUAUGGCUGCUGAUUUUUUCAAAUUUUAGCAGCCAUCUCAACCUAUAAAUACCCCGCUUUGCUGCUCACUUCAAACACAUCUCACCCCUUCUCAUCUCUUCACUUUUC